Molecule: ribosomal RNA, 88 nt
Filed under: Nelumbo nucifera (sacred lotus)
Lineage: Eukaryota; Viridiplantae; Streptophyta; Magnoliopsida; Proteales; Nelumbonaceae
Source: RNAcentral
GAUCCCAUCAGAACUCCGAAGUUAAGCGUGCUUGGGCGGGAGUAGUACUAGGAUGUGUGACCUCCUGGGAAGUCCUUGUGUUGCACCC